AUUGAACGCUGGCGGCAUGCCUUACACAUGCAAGUCGAACGGCAGCGGACCUUCGGGUGCCGGCGAGUGGCGAACGGGUGAGUAAUAUAUCGGAACGUACCUUUCAGUGGGGGAUAACGUAGCGAAAGUUACGCUAAUACCGCAUAUUCUGUGAGCAGGAAAGCAGGGGAUCGCAAGACCUUGCGCUGAUUGAGCGGCCGAUAUCAGAUUAGCUAGUUGGUGAGGUAAAGGCUCACCAAGGCGACGAUCUGUAGCGGGUCUGAGAGGAUGAUCCGCCACACUGGAACUGAGACACGGUCCAGACUCCUACGGGAGGCAGCAGUGGGGAAUCUUGCGCAAUGGGCGAAAGCCUGACGCAGCAACGCCGCGUGGGGGAUGAAGGCUCUCGGGUUGUAAACCCCUUUCAGCAGGGACGAAAUAAGACGGUACCUGCAGAAGAAGCUCCGGCUAACUACGUGCCAGCAGCCGCGGUAAUGUGUG
RNAcentral lists this ribosomal RNA (480 nucleotides) under uncultured bacterium. RNAcentral describes it as "bacterial SSU rRNA". It matches the Rfam family "Bacterial small subunit ribosomal RNA", at positions 30 to 529 of the family's 1533-position model. The record is from RNAcentral.